RNAcentral lists this long non-coding RNA (688 nucleotides) under Podarcis muralis (Common wall lizard). RNAcentral's name for it is "lncRNA (ENSPMRG00000005522.1)". The record is from RNAcentral. Lineage: Eukaryota; Metazoa; Chordata; Lepidosauria; Squamata; Lacertidae.
GCACAGUUGCGCAUUGAGGAAAUACAAUCUUCAUUUUGUCAAAACAAACAUCAUUUUGUCAAAACAAUUAGCUGAAUGCAAGUAUUUUGGAUGUUGGAGCUUGAAUUUGGGACCUUCUACAUGCAAAGCAUGUGUUCUGCUGCAACUCUUCACAGCUUCUUCCAGCCACUUACAAGAAAGGACUUCAUAGAGAACAAAAGAGGAAAUAUCCAGUUGAGGGGAAAUUUCAAUAGUGAGAAAAGCAUGAAGGGAAAGGGUUGAAAAGCUUCCCCCCCAGUUCUAUAGUCCCAAUUUACUUCGUCCACCACCCAGUGUAGCUGCUUUUAACUUUUAAAAUACAAUGGGAGAUCUGAUCAGAAAUCUCUGACUACCUUGUCUAGAUUAACCCUGAAAAACUUGCACUUGUUUGGCAGCAGUCAAUGUCCUUAUGUGAGAUUGAACAGAAGAAGCACAAUGGUUGGCAUCCAUCUGUCUCUGGAGACAAUGGAGGAAUGCACUUUUCAGGGUGAAGUCAAACUGUUGGAAGGUUACUGUGCCUGCUGUGGCUGUACAGACUGAUAUGGGAGAGACAUGUUUUGUUGCAGAUACAGAUAGUUACAAUAAAAAUAAAGCAAGGCCUUGAAGAUAAUCCCAAUUCACAUUUGCUCCAAAUGGGAGCAAAACUUUAAAUGUUUCAGUUUUAAGUUUA